CCUACGGGCGGCAGCAGUGGGGAAUAUUGCACAAUGGGGGAAACCCUGAUGCAGCGACGCCGCGUGAGUGAAGAAGUAUUUCGUUAUGUAAAGCUCUAUCAGCAGGGAAGAAAAUGACGGUACCUGACUAAGAAGCCCCGGCUAACUACGUGCCAGCAGCCGCGGUAAUACGUAGGGGGCAAGCGUUAUCCGGAUUUACUGGGUGUAAAGGGAGCGUAGACGGUGAGGCAAGUCUGGAGUGAAAGGCCACGGCUGAACUACGGGACUGCUUUGGAAACUGGAGAACGGGAGUGCGGGAGAGGUAAGCGGAAUUCCUAGGGUAGCGGUGAAAUGCGUAGAUAUUAGGAGGAACACCGGUGGCGAAGGCGGCUUACUGGACCGUAACUGACGUUGAGGCUCGAAGGCGUGGGGAGCAAACAGGAUUAGAUACCCGAGUAGUC
Molecule: ribosomal RNA, 440 nt
Filed under: uncultured bacterium
Lineage: Bacteria
Description: partial 16S ribosomal RNA
Rfam family: Bacterial small subunit ribosomal RNA
Source: RNAcentral